RNAcentral lists this ribosomal RNA (492 nucleotides) under uncultured bacterium. RNAcentral describes it as "partial 16S ribosomal RNA". It matches the Rfam family "Bacterial small subunit ribosomal RNA", at positions 29 to 507 of the family's 1533-position model. The record is from RNAcentral.
AGUGAACGCUGGCGGUAGGCCUAACACAUGCAAGUCGAACGGCAGCACCGUAAGAGCUUGCUCUUACGGGUGGCGAGUGGCGGACGGGUGAGGAAUACAUCGGAAUCUACUUUUUCGUGGGGGAUAACGUAGGGAAACUUACGCUAAUACCGCAUACGACCUACGGGUGAAAGCAGGGGAUCUUCGGACCUUGCGCGAUUGAAUGAGCCGAUGUCGGAUUAGCUAGUUGGCGGGGUAAAGGCCCACCAAGGCGACGAUCCGUAGCUGGUCUGAGAGGAUGAACAGCCACACUGGAACUGAGACACGGUCCAGACUCCUACGGGAGGCAGCAGUGGGGAAUAUUGGACAAUGGGCGCAAGCCUGAUCCAGCCAUACCGCGUGGGUGAAGAAGGCCUUCGGGUUGUAAAGCCCUUUUGUUGGGAAAGAAAAGCAGCAGGUUAAUACCCCGCUGUUCUGACGGUACCCAAAGAAUAAGCACCGGCUAACUUCGUG